GAGGGUGUAGCUCAAGUGGUAGAGCACGUGGUUAGCAUGCAUGAGGUCCUGUGUUCAAUCCCCAGUACCUCCU
Molecule: transfer RNA, 73 nt
Organism: Camelus ferus (Wild Bactrian camel)
Lineage: Eukaryota; Metazoa; Chordata; Mammalia; Artiodactyla; Camelidae
Rfam family: tRNA
About the family: Transfer RNA (tRNA) molecules are approximately 80 nucleotides in length. Their secondary structure includes four short double-helical elements and three loops (D, anti-codon, and T loops).
Source: Rfam